UUUUUCCCCUUUCGCUCCUCUUUUCUUUGUUUCUCAGUUCUGCCGCCGGGUGCCCCCGUCCUUUCUCUGGUUCGAUCUGCCUCCAGUGGAGAGGAGAUCGGCAUGCUCGCCGUACUCUCGCCGUUCUGCUGUCCGCCGCCAAGACCGCCGGCCGCUGUUCCUCCGCGUGUCGCUGCUUCGGCUCGCGCCCGUGGGCGGAUUAGUGCUGCUUCUUUCGUCCGUGCCCGCCAUGGAAUUUUCUCUCUUACCUUCUAACCCUGGCCGAUCUCCACCUCCACCGCUCUCCCUACCCUAGCCCCCUGCCUUGGCCUGUUCCCCGCCCUGAUCCCCCCGAUGUGGCCGCCUCUCGCUCAGCGGCGGCUGACUGUCCGAGGAGCCGGCGGUCGCGGCCCGGGUCCGCUCCUCCUCCUACAUCUCUGCCGCGACGGCGGGGUUCCUCCAUCCCUCCGCGUUCUAGUCCCUCGACAAGACAUCGGGCGCCGAAACCAGUAGUGCCGCCGCCGGCAGGUCGGCCUCGGCGGUGGCACAUCGACACGCUAAUAUUGCCAAGAGGAGAUUUCCAGCGUCAGAAGACACCUUACCGGCCACUGCAUCGCCCGCACGGCCGCACCGCCUGCGAUCGCGCUUCCGCUCUCCUUGGACAUGCUGGUAUGCGCCCGCCGCCGGGGUCGAGCAGCGUCCGCGGGGAAACCUCAAGUGCGCGUCGCCGGACGUCGCCCCUGUGCCUUGGGCGACCUCCACGGCGAAAAGAUUUCCCGUCGGCCACGAACGCCACGCCGCGGCUGGGGUCGUGGCUGCUGGAAGACGAUGCCGCCGCCGUGGAGGAGGGGCCGGGCCGGGCCGACCUCAGGCGCGACGCCUCAGUAGGGUCGUGGUCGCUGGAAGACGUGGCCGCCAUGGAGGAGGGGCGGGCGCGGCGCGGAGCUGGCAGCCAUGGGGGCGUGAGGAGCCACGCCGGCCGUCCUCCGGUGGGGGUGGCACAUGUAGCAGCACCGCGUUGCUCCUCCGUGAACCGCAAUCGUCGUCGCCUGGGUCGGGUGUACUGUCGAUGCGUCACAAAGUCGCACCUGGAGGAGCCAAGUUGUUGUGCUCUAACACGGUCGACGCCAGGCACAACAUCUUCCUGGUGACUCCAUGACGACGAGCACGGUGUGCGCGAGCGCAACGGUUAAUCUGGCGACUACCGGCGCGGGAACUCCGGCGUGCAGGUGAACCAUCCUUUCCCCGCCUUCCUUCCUUCCCUCCCUUGAUCUGCUCAUAUCUUCUGUCUUUUAUUUGACCUUUUCAGUUCAGUCAUACAGGCAAUAGCGUGUACAGAUUCUGAACCGAACGAUUUUCUUAAGCAGCAUACAUGGAGUAGUAAUGCUAAGAAUUGGUAGAUUAGACGUGAAUGGUCAAAGCAUUAGCAAUGAAAAAGCCCAACUAUUUGUCCAGACUAGAAUGAAACGAUCAGUUCUGCACUUCUGCCUUUGCCUUUUCACCAUCUCAUUGAAGCACAAAAGAAAAAUAAAAUAGCUUCUUGCUCUCAGGCGUUGCAUGACUAAUCUGAAACCUGAACUUUAUAUCUCUCUGACGACGAAGCUUUCCUGGUGAAUUUGUGUGGUUCAGUUUUUCACUGCGUUCUCCAUUGCAUUCUUGCUUUUUCCUAAUUUGUUCACCGCACGUUAAAUUUGUAUGAUGAUUUGCUUCCAGAUCCAACGAUAAUUACGAGAACAGAUCCAAAAACAUAAUGUAUAACUUUUGAUCCUGAUAUGAGUUGCAUAAAAAGACAUGUUUGGAAAAUUUUAUAGGUCCAUGGCCAAUCUGAAUUCAUCUUGAACUUUUGAUUCUGUUAUUCUCUUCAUUUUUACAGUUGUGUAUAGUUUUCAUUCUAGUAAAUAAGAACAGGGGCCCCUCCUGCAUGGUUUCGGUGAGCUUGGAUAAUGAAAACAUUCGACCUUUACUGAACUUAUUUCAUUCAGUAAAAAUAUGUGAAUUGAGGACUACAUUGGUUCUCUUUCCUGUGGGUGGAGUAUUGUUUUUAUGCAUGGCAUUCGUUUUGAAGGAAUGCCUGGGCGUUAUUUUUCCUCAACUGAACUAUUUUGUAGCUUCAGUUAAGUUUUGAUUUGUCCCUACAUUCAUGUUCAUAGAGAAAUUGUAUUAUCAUGUCCAUCUAGAGUAUUGUGCUUUAGUAAGGGUUUAGGAAGUUUCUACUGGUUGUUUUUUGAUUCAGACAUGGGGCAUAAAAGUAACACUGCAUGUCUUAUGACUAAAUGAUAUGUAUCUAGGAUGCAAUUCGGUCGUUGAAAAGCAGCCGAGGAGAGGUCUAAAUAUUUUAUAAAUUUUGUUUUCCUAGCUACUGGUGCAUUACUCAUGAUUGUUGAAUUAAAUACCGCACCCUUUUAAAUUAAAUAUUAACAACAUUAGAGAAGCACGAUGUAAUCAAGUAGGGAAGAAACUAGAAUCUGCUACCAAUAUUCCGCUUGAUGUCAGAUUCAGUUUGCAAUUUUGGAAGUCCUGCCAAUUCAUGCUUUUGAGUUAUGACCAACAUAUCUACAUAUUUGUAGUAUCGAAAAGUAAUUAAUUAAUGUGUGCUCCUCCUUUUAAUUGAUUUCACUGAUCUUUCAUGUUUGCACCUGCCUGAUGACUGAUUGUUCUUUGUCUUCAUUGUUACUUGGUUAGUUAGUUAUAGCUUCAAGCAAAUUGGAAAAGCAUAGUAUGUGCAAUCAAGAUUCAGUGCCAGUGAUUCAAUAUAAAUCGAGUCAUGUUACUUUGGUAAAGGAGAACCACUGCUUGAGUUUCCAUACUAGCACAUGUGCUCCCCAAUGAAAAUUUAAGUCUUUAGUACAACCGGCUUGUGUGUUCUGCAUGAUUUUUCAUCGGUCGUUGUUUUUUUUUCGAAGAGGGGAGCGAUGCACACAAUCUUUAUGUGUGGACUCCACUAUUUUCUUUUCCUUUGCUCUAUCCAGUUGUCUAUGGUUAUCCAAAGAUUUGUACUUUUACUCUUUUAUAUUUAGCCUUUAACAUUCUUGCUAUGCUGUAAGAUGGAAAUACUUUCAUGCGACGCUUGCAUACUCUUAUGAACACUUUAACUUAAAAUUUCCAAUGAAAUAGAGUUGCAACAUAUCUUAGACUUGCACAAUAUAGGAAGUCUUUUAUUUGUAAGAUAGUUCAUUAAUUUCAGGCUCUGUUUUAUUGAUUCUGAACAUUUGCAUAUCUACUCCAUUCUAAGGGUACGAACGGGAUUACCAAUGUUACUCCUGAGGAAAUGAGAGGCAUUGUUGAAGUUAUAGGUGAAACAGGUUUUAUUGAUUCUGAGCAUUUCCAUAUGUACUCCAUUCUAGGGGUACCAACAGGAUUACCAAUGUUACUCCUGAGGAAAUCAGAGGUAUUAUUGAAGUUACAGGUGAAAGGGGAAAGUGUCGGUGUUAUACCUGGACCUGGAUGAAUUUACAAGCUCUUACUGUUAUUUAGAGAUUGUUUAAAUGUUGCAAGCAACUUCAUGCUUCAGAUUUCUGUUCAGGUCUACAUAUUAUAAUUCAGUUUUCUUGCUCGCAAGAAAUUGGCGGUAUUAUGUGUUCGAUAUAUCUUUGUGUAAACUUUCUAUCUCAAGGUUAAUACCUAGCAUUUGAAAACAAUUAAUAGUGGUGGUUUAGGGCUAAUCAAGCUUAUGCUGAUUCAAUCAUCCGCUUUUAGUUCUGAAGAGAUAGUUGCUGAUCAGAGGGGAUUGGGGCAAAAUAUAAUUUAUUAAGAAUGUGAGGUUUCCUUUUUAUUGGUAUUGUGAUUAACUUCCGCUUUUACGGGCAUGAAUUGAGUUUUGUCAAGAGGUUGCUGUCUCUUCAAUUGAUGCAGGCAUGAGAAGGUCUUAGGCGGAUAUUUUGGGGUUCAACUGAUGAUCUGAGAGGAUGUGCAUGAACAUAAUUCUUUGUCUCCAGAGACAUACUGAGAGCAGAAGCAUACUACUUUGUAUAGUACAAGCAAGAUGCUGCCUACAUAGGACCGACAUACUACCUUUUGCAUUAAGCAACAUUGUUGACACUGUUGUUCAGCCAAAGGCACGAAAAGAGUAAAAUCAAAGAAGUUUUCUCAUCAAUAGACGCUGGUGGUGUAUAAAUUAUGUAUUGUAGUUUCAGUUUGAUAUACAAAAUAAGUUAGUACACGAAUAUCUAACUGUAUGCAGCAUAGUUUCCAUUUAGUAUGUUUGGAGAGUAUGUAAUGCAACAUAGCUUCCCCAGUGUCUGAAGUUCUUUCUAGGAUGAUCAGUCCUUCAUCUUGAUA
Lolium perenne is the source of this 4257-nucleotide long non-coding RNA. RefSeq lists it as uncharacterized. NCBI's taxonomy places the organism in Eukaryota, Viridiplantae, Streptophyta, Magnoliopsida, Poales, Poaceae. The record is from RefSeq and is a predicted model, not a curated record.